UGAACCUCUGGAGGGCAGAAAAGAUCCUGCAGGUCCAACAUCAACACAAACCAUGUUCUCUACAGCUCUGCUGCUCCUGCUGGCAGCUGCUUCCUGUGUUCACAGUGAAGAACUGACUCAGCCUGGAUCCAUGAUCAUCCGUCCAGGUCAGAGUCUGACCAUCAACUGUAAAGUUUCAUAUUCAGUUUCUAGCUAUUCUACAGCCUGGAUCAAACAACCUGCAGGAAAAGCUCUGGAGUGGAUUGGACGCUUCUACUGGGGUGGUAGCACAGACUACAAUAAUAAACUGAAAAACAAGUUCAGCAUCUCCAGAGACACUGGAACUAACACAGUAACAUUACAAGGACAGAACCUGCAGACUGAAGAUACAGCUGUGUAUUACUGCGCAAGAGACACACAGUGAUACACACUAAUGCACCCAUCAUACAAAAACCCUUUGGCAUGUAGAGUUUGAGUUAUUCAUUAAAUAUAAUGAACACAUGUUCAUUCAAUUAUCCUUAUUAAUAUACUAAUUACAUAAAGCCUAAA
Molecule: non-coding RNA, 528 nt
Organism: Astyanax mexicanus (Mexican tetra)
Lineage: Eukaryota; Metazoa; Chordata; Actinopteri; Characiformes; Acestrorhamphidae
Source: the annotation of a RefSeq genome assembly